AAACAUGGGACACAACAAUCAGAAGUCUGGAUGACCUGAUAACACACAACCCAGACACACGGGAAUCCAUUGAGCUGGAGGAUCAGAGAGCCUUUGUCAGCCUGCUGACAUGCCUUCUAGAUACAGACCCAGAGAAGAGAAUCACUCCGGGGAAGGCUCUCGAUCACCCCUUUGUAACAAUGGUCCAUCUGGAAGAUGAAAUAGACACCAGCUUUUAUGUUGAAGAUUCUUUAG
This is a long non-coding RNA of Xiphias gladius (swordfish), 234 nucleotides long. RefSeq lists it as uncharacterized. The transcript is spliced from 3 exons. NCBI's taxonomy places the organism in Eukaryota, Metazoa, Chordata, Actinopteri, Istiophoriformes, Xiphiidae. The record is from RefSeq and is a predicted model, not a curated record.